AACGAACGCUGGCGGCAUGCCUAACACAUGCAAGUCGAACGAGACCUUCGGGUCUAGUGGCGCACGGGUGCGUAACGCGUGGGAACCUGCCCUUAGGUUCGGAAUAACUCCCCGAAAGGGGUGCUAAUACCGGAUAAUGUCUUCGGACCAAAGAUUUAUCGCCUUUGGAUGGGCCCGCGUUGGAUUAGCUAGUUGGUAGGGUAAAAGCCUACCAAGGCGACGAUCCAUAGCUGGUCUGAGAGGAUGAUCAGCCACACUGGGACUGAGACACGGCCCAGACUGCUACGGGAGGCAGCAGUGGGGAAUAUUGGACAAUGGGCGAAAGCCUGAUCCAGCAAUGCCGCGUGAGUGAUGAAGGCCUUAGGGUUGUAAAGCUCUUUUACCCGGGAUGAUAAUGACAGUACCGAGAGAAUAAGCUCCGGCUAACUCCGUG
This 433-nucleotide ribosomal RNA is filed under the name uncultured bacterium. RNAcentral's name for it is "partial 16S ribosomal RNA". It matches the Rfam family "Bacterial small subunit ribosomal RNA", at positions 29 to 507 of the family's 1533-position model. The record is from RNAcentral.